ACCCGCAGUGAAUCAUAUGUAUAAGGUUACCUUCUAAAGUGACUAUUAUUUCUUAUGUCAGUGUUGCCACUUUAAAGAUAUUGCUGAUAUAACUGAAGUUAGUUCUCUAUAGAGCCUAAGAGUAUCCGCUUGCAAUAAAAGGAUGCUGCACACUGAAAGUGUAACAGGGUAGUUUAAAUGCGAUAUGUCCACUGGAUUCUGGGACACUGCCACAAUAAUUAUGUAUAAGUUACAAUUUCUGUGCAUGGGGUUCAUAUAUUACUGUGUAUCUGUGGGUCACACUGUAAAGCUAAAAUUCUUCAGGAUGGUAAUGUCUAAAACACCGUAUCUACGGCUCAACGUUUGGCCUGUGACUACGCAAAUGAAGCGUAUAUGUAUAUCAGUAAUAGCGGCACUACAGUAUCCGUUGCAGUAUAACUACUGGUUCUCACGUGGUGCGUGAUUGUUAUAUCACAUACUCAUGAUUGUAUAUACUAAACCAGCACCAAACAAGAGAGACUACUAUGGUUUGUAAUGUUAGCAUUAAACUUGCCGUGACAAUGUCACUAAAGUUACUUAUUAGUUAUAACUUCUGUACGUGCGAUUCAUAUGUUGCUGUGCACCUUAGGGCCACACUGAUGCAAAGUGUAUCGACUAAAAUAGGAGAGGAACAGCUUAAGGGAGAUUGACUUUACUGACUGGGAAGGUUAUAGGGGGUUGGGGGCUAGGCGUAGCCCCUUCCUUUGGAUAGCACAGCUAUAGCAGGACAAUAGAAGAAGGGAUGGGCAGUGUAGAUAAGCUGCAACUAGCUGAUCCUAAAUAGGCUAGCACAGGGAUUGGCCAGGAGGGGGAGAGGGGGUAUGAACAGGAGUUGAGGAAAUUAACUGCCUAUAAAGAUGAUUGCACAAUGCUUGGAGCUCACAAUAAUUAUUUUCUUUUUUCAGAGCAGAGCAGUUUUCUUUGUUGCAGAAAUGGCUCCAAGGAACAGGAUAAUUGCUAAGAAAUUGGGAAAGAACUUUGUAUACUGAAGUCUCAUUCAUUGUUACAUUUCUAGCUGAAAUGACGAAGCCUAGCCCAAGGAAGAGGUCACGCACAAGAGCGAUCACAAGCGACACGGCUAAGGGCAGAUGCUGUGGUGUUUCCGCCACUCAGAUUAAGACCGCCCGUGUAGCGCCCCUUAAGGGUUUUUUCGCCACGAAGCAGGAAAUCAGCUACUGGUCUGUCGGUCAGAGCUGGUGGAUGGCAUAGAGAAAUCAUGGCAUUUUUAGUGGUAUAUUUCAUGACGCGGCGGGAAGUGGGCGUCCUGGCACGUGGGUAAUGCAGUAAUGGGGGGAGGUGUGUAGGGUACGGGGGCGGGGUAUUGGUCUGUCGGUCAAACCCACAAGCCCUCCUAGUCUGCAGACCUUUCGGCCCGUUACUAGCAAAUUGACGCCCCUGAGUUGCGCGCGGUCACGCUCCUUGGUUACGUGGGGACGCCCAGUUCUCUCGUCAUGCUGUUGCAUGAAUUGUGUUAUCAAUUCAAAUCCAAAUUGGAUUAAGGAUAUGUUAUUAUCCUAGUAGUUGAGGAUCGCUCAUUUUUCAUAAUUUAGAUUUGAAUUUAAUAAAUGUGACCUUUUCUAACGCCAAAUCUGUGUCUGUCAUUAUUGGUAUAUGAAAAUUGGGUAAAAGGGGUUACCAAACUAAAGGUAAAGUGGGAGCAUUUGGUUAGCAGGUACCUGUGAAGAUAGUUAAAGUGUAAAUCCCUUAGCAAAGUGUAUCGACUAAAAUAGGAGAGGAACAGCUUAAGGGAGAUUGACUUUACUGACUGGGAAGGUUAUAGGGGGUUGGGGGCUAGGCGUAGCCCCUUCCUUUGGAUAGCACAGCUAUAGCAGGACAAUAGAAGAAGGGAUGGGCAGUGUAGAUAAGCUGCAACUAGCUGAUCCUAAAUAGGCUAGCACAGGGAUUGGCCAGGAGGGGGAGAGGGGGUAUGAACAGGAGUUGAGGAAAUUAACUGCCUAUAAAGAUGAUUGCACAAUGCUUGGAGCUCACAAUAAUUAUUUUCUUUUUCCCUCCCUCCCUCCCUAGAAAUGACGAAGCCUAGCCCAAGGAAGAGGUCACGCACAAGAGCGAUCACAAGCGACACGGCUAAGGGCAGAUGCUGUGGUGUUUCCGCCACUCAGAUUAAGACCGCCCGUGUAGCGCCCCUUAAGGGUUUUUUCGCCACGAAGCAGGAAAUCAGCUACUGGUCUGUCGGUCAGAGCUGGUGGAUGGCAUAGAGAAAUCAUGGCAUUUUUAGUGGUAUAUUUCAUGACGCGGCGGGAAGUGGGCGUCCUGGCACGUGGGUAAUGCAGUAAUGGGGGGAGGUGUGUAGGGUACGGGGGCGGGGUAUUGGUCUGUCGGUCAAACCCACAAGCCCUCCUAGUCUGCAGACCUUUCGGCCCGUUACUAGCAAAUUGACGCCCCUGAGUUGCGCGCGGUCACGCUCCUUGGUUACGUGGGGACGCCCAGUUCUCUCGUCAUGCUGUUGCAUGAAUUGUGUUAUCAAUUCAAAUCCAAAUUGGAUUAAGGAUAUGUUAUUAUCCUAGUAGUUGAGGAUCGCUCAUUUUUCAUAAUUUAGAUUUGAAUUUAAUAAAUGUGACCUUUUCUAACGCCAAA
Molecule: long non-coding RNA, 2613 nt
Organism: Bombina bombina (fire-bellied toad)
Lineage: Eukaryota; Metazoa; Chordata; Amphibia; Anura; Bombinatoridae
Exons: 2
Source: RefSeq, a predicted model, not a curated record